Molecule: ribosomal RNA, 425 nt
Filed under: uncultured bacterium
Lineage: Bacteria
Description: partial 16S ribosomal RNA
Rfam family: Bacterial small subunit ribosomal RNA
Source: RNAcentral
GUGGGGAAUAUUGCACAAUGGGGGGAACCCUGAUGCAGCAACGCCGCGUGAGCGAUGAAGGUCUUCGGAUUGUAAAGCUCUGUCUUCGCUGACGAUAAUGACGGUAAGCGAGGAGGAAGCCACGGCUAACUACGUGCCAGCAGCCGCGGUAAUACGUAGGUGGCGAGCGUUGUCCGGAAUUACUGGGCGUAAAGGGUGCGUAGGCGGUUUUUUAAGUGGGAUGUGAAAUCCUGAGGCUUAACUUCAGAAUUGCAUUCCAAACUGGAAGGCUAGAGUACAGGAGAGGAAAGCGGAAUUCCCAGUGUAGCGGUGAAAUGCGUAGAGAUUGGGAGGAACACCAGUGGCGAAGGCGGCUUUCUGGACUGUAACUGACUCUGAGGCACGAAAGCGUGGGGAGCAAACAGGAUUAGAAACCCUAGUAGUCC